UCGGAGUGCUUGCACUCUGUGAAACAAGAUACAGGCUAGCGGCGGACGGGUGAGUAACACGUGGGUAACCUGCCCAAGAGAUCGGGAUAACACCUGGAAACAGAUGCUAAUACCGGAUAACAACAGAUGAUGCCUAUCAACUGUUUAAAAGAUGGUUCUGCUAUCACUCUUGGAUGGACCUGCGGUGCAUUAGCUAGUUGGUAGGGGUAAACGGGCCUACCAAGGCGAUGAUGCAUAGCCGAGUUUGAGAGACUGAUCGGCCACAUUGGGACUGAGACACGGCCCAAACUCCUACGGGAGGCAGCAGUAGGGAAUCUUCCACAAUGGACGCAAGUCUGAUGGAGCAACGCCGCGUGAGUGAAGAAGGGUUUCGGCUCGUAAAGCUCUGUUGUUGGUGAAGAAGGACAGGGGGUAGUAACUGACCUUUGUUUGACGGUAAUCAAUUAGAAAGUCACGGGCUAACUACGUGCCAGCAGCCGCGGUAAAU
Molecule: ribosomal RNA, 487 nt
Filed under: uncultured Lactobacillus sp.
Lineage: Bacteria; Bacillati; Bacillota; Bacilli; Lactobacillales; Lactobacillaceae
Description: bacterial SSU rRNA
Rfam family: Bacterial small subunit ribosomal RNA
Source: RNAcentral